Molecule: ribosomal RNA, 496 nt
Filed under: uncultured bacterium
Lineage: Bacteria
Description: partial 16S ribosomal RNA
Rfam family: Bacterial small subunit ribosomal RNA
Source: RNAcentral
AUGAACGCUGGCGGCGUGCCUAAUACAUGCAAGUCGAGCGAACGGACGAGAAGCUUGCUUCUCUGAUGUUAGCGGCGGACGGGUGAGUAACACGUGGAUAACCUACCUAUAAGACUGGGAUAACUUCGGGAAACCGUAGCUAAUACCGGAUAAUAUUUUGAACCGCAUGGUUCAAAAGUGAAAGACGGUCUUGCUGUCACUUAUAGAUGGAUCCGCGCUGCAUUAGCUAGUUGGUAAGGUAACGGCUUACCAAGGCAACGAUGCAUAGCCGACCUGAGAGGGUGAUCGGCACCACUGGAACUGAGACACGGUCCAGACUCCUACGGGAGGCAGCAGUAGGGAAUCUUCGGCAAUGGGCGAAAGCCUGACGGAGCAACGCCGCGUGAGUGAUGAAGGUCUUCGGAUCGUAAAACUCUGUUAUUAGGGAAGAACAUAUGUGUAAGUAACUGUGCACAUCUUGACGGUACCUAAUCAGAAAGCCACGGCUAACUACGUG